GACGAACGCUGGCGGCGUGCUUAACACAUGCAAGUCGAACGGAAAGGCCCUGCUUUUGUUGCAUGCUCGACUGGCGAACGGGUGAGUCACGCGUGAGUAACCUUCCCUUGACUUUUGAGUAACUUCAACAGACUCUGGCUCAUACCAUAUCGUAUCUCCUGCUGCAUGUUGGGGGAUGGAUAUUUUGGGCGGUGGGGGAUGGACGCGCGGCUUAUCAGUUUGUUGGGUGGGGAGCGGCUUACCAAGGCUUUGGCGGGUAGCCGGCCUGAGUGAGUGACCGGCCACAUUGGGAGUGAGAGAGGGACGGGACAGCUUCGGGAGGGAGGAGGCGGGAAUAAUGCACGAUGGGCGGAAGCCAGACGGAGGAACGCCGCGUGCGGGAGGACGGCCGUCGGGUUGGAAACCGCUUUCGCUUGUGACGAAGGGUGAGGGACGGUAGUGGGUAAAGAAGCACCGGCUAACUACGUG
Molecule: ribosomal RNA, 468 nt
Filed under: uncultured bacterium
Lineage: Bacteria
Description: partial 16S ribosomal RNA
Rfam family: Bacterial small subunit ribosomal RNA
Source: RNAcentral